This 1599-nucleotide ribosomal RNA is filed under the name Propionibacterium sp. HMSC067A02. RNAcentral describes it as "bacterial LSU rRNA". It matches the Rfam family "Bacterial large subunit ribosomal RNA", at positions 1393 to 2925 of the family's 2925-position model. The record is from RNAcentral. Lineage: Bacteria; Bacillati; Actinomycetota; Actinomycetes; Propionibacteriales; Propionibacteriaceae.
UCACCGUCCGUGUCGAGGGGGGUGAUGCUAAGCAUGUGAGCUUGUCUUGGGAGUGUUUUUGAUGCUUCUGGGGUGGGUGAGUGUGUGAACCGAUCAUGUAGUAGGCAAGCUGCGGAGGGACGCAGUGAGGUAGCUCAUCCCCGGUGAUGGUUGUCCGGGGCUAAGUGUGUGGACUGUCUGGUAGGUAAAUCCGCUGGGCGUGAAGGUUGAGGCAUGAUGGGGAGCCCACGGUUGUGGGUGAGUGAGUGAUCCUGUACUGUCGAGAAAAGCUUCGUGAGCGAGGUGGCGGGUCCGCCCGUACCCUAAACCGACACUGGUGGAUAGGUAGAGUAUACCGAGGCGAUCGAGUGAAUCGUGGUGAAGGAACUCGGCAAAAUGCCCCCGUAACUUUGGGAUAAGGGGGACCUGAGCUGUCGUGCACCCGUGCGGUGUGGUGGCGGUGAGGGGCGCAGAGUCCAGGGGGAAACGACUGUUUACCAAAAACACAGGUCCGUGCGAAGUCGUAAGACGAUGUAUACGGACUGACUCCUGCCCGGUGCUGGAAGGUUAAGGGGAACUGUGAGUGUAUGCGUAGCGGUGAACUUAAGCCCCAGUAAACGGCGGUGGUAACUAUAACCAUCCUAAGGUAGCGAAAUUCCUUGUCGGGUAAGUUCCGACCUGCACGAAUGGAGUAACGAUUUCCCUACUGUCUCCACCAUGAACUCGGUGAAAUUGCAUUACGAGUAAAGAUGCUCGUUACGCGCAGCAGGACGGAAAGACCCCGGGACCUUUACUAUAGUUUGGUAUUGGUGAUUGGGACGGUUUGUGUAGGAUAGGUGGGAGACGUUGAUGCGGCCACGCUAGUGGUGGUGGAGUCGUUGGUGAAAUACCACUCUGAUUGUUCUGGUUAUCUCACUGUGGACCGUGAUCCGGUUCAAGGACAGUGCCUGAUGGGUAGUUUGACUGAGGCGGUCGCCUCCUAAAGGGUAACGGAGGCGCCCAAAGGUUCCCUCAGCCUGGUUGGUAAUCAGGUGGUGAGUGUAAGUGCACAAGGGGGCUUGACUGUGAGACUGACAGGUCGAGCAGGGACGAAAGUCGGGACUAGUGAUCUGACGGUGGCUUGUGGAUGCGCCGUCACUCAACGGAUAAAAGGUACCCCGGGGAUAACAGGCUGAUCUUGCCCGAGCGCUCAUAGCGACGGCAUGGUUUGGCACCUCGAUGUCGGCUCGUCGCAUCCUGGGGCUGGAGUCGGUCCCAAGGGUUGGGCUGUUCGCCCAUUAAAGCGGCACGCGAGCUGGGUUCAGAACGUCGUGAGACAGUUCGGUCCCUAUCCGCUGCGCGCGGAGGAAUCUUGAGAAGGGCUGUCUUUAGUACGAGAGGACCGAGACGGACUGACCUCUGGUGUGCCAGUUGUUCUGCCAAGAGCAUGGCUGGUUGGCUACGUCGGGUUGUGAUAACCGCUGAAAGCAUCUAAGCGGGAAGCACGCUUCAAGAUAAGGGUUCCCACAGGAGUGUUCCUGGUAAGGUCCCCGAGAGAUGAUCGGGUUGAUAGGCCAGACGUGGACGCAUCGUAAGGUGUGGAGCUGACUGGUACUAAUAGACCGAGGACUUUCAUUAACA